AUCAAUGCUUUGUUGGAGACAUGG
Molecule: non-coding RNA, 24 nt
Filed under: Gossypium hirsutum (cotton)
Lineage: Eukaryota; Viridiplantae; Streptophyta; Magnoliopsida; Malvales; Malvaceae
Source: RNAcentral